This 404-nucleotide long non-coding RNA is filed under the name Homo sapiens (human). Its description in RNAcentral is "non-protein coding lnc-ELOA3D-1:1". Lineage: Eukaryota; Metazoa; Chordata; Mammalia; Primates; Hominidae. The record is from RNAcentral.
CCCCUCCCCAGUGGCUAACCUCACCUCAUUCUUCCAAAAGCGACCUACUAUCCUAACUUUAACAGAUUAGUAUUGCCUGUUUUUGAACUUUAUAUAAAUGGAACCUGUGUAGUAUAUAUACAGUUGCCCCUUGGUGUACCUGGGGGAUUGGUUCUAGGAUCCACCCUCCCAACAGGAAAAUCAUGUGUACUCAAGUCCUGAAGUUGGCCCUGCAGAACCCAUGUAUAGGAAAAGUUGGCCCUCUGUAUAUGUGGGUUUCACGUCCUGCAAAUACCAUAUUUUUGAUCUGCAUUUGGUUGAAAAAAAAAUAUGCGUAUAAGUGGACCUGCACAGUUCAAACCAGUCAACUGUAUUCUGUUUCUGUAUAUGUAUUCUGUUGUUUCUGCCUUUUUUUCUGUUUCGUU